AUGCCGAAAGUUAAAUUAAGUCACUCGCAUAGACUUGAAAUAGCGUCCCUCUACCGCCAAAAUUGGAAAAUAAGCGCCAUAGUCCGCUAUUUGUCAAAUCAACAUGGAAUAGAUGUAAACUGGAGUACAGUACGCAAUAUCAUCUUGAAGUACAAGUCAGGGGAUCUUUUCGCUGAUCCUAACUCCGAUUUCAUCAAGUUCCGUAAAGUUACUGACGGUGACAUUUCAACAGUUAGAUCAGCAUUAGCCGAAAAAUGUACAAUGACUGCAACUGAUGUUCGGCGUGAACUUGUUAGUAAAGGGUCAGAUUUGUCAAAAACAACUGUUCAAAGAAUAAUUCACGAAGCCGGGUACACCGCCAGUGCACCGCGUUAUUGUCAGAUGAUUCGUGAGGCAAAUAAAGUAAAACGGCUCACUUUCUGUCAACAGUUGAUAACAGACAAUGACAAUUUUGCAGACAUCAUAUUUACUGAUGAAUGCACCGUCCAGCUACAUGAUAAUAAAGUAGUAAUUUAUCGCCUGAGAGACCAAGUCGCACAACCAAUUCCACAACCAAAGCAUCCGUUUUAA
Molecule: small RNA, 570 nt
Filed under: Mytilus galloprovincialis (Mediterranean mussel)
Lineage: Eukaryota; Metazoa; Mollusca; Bivalvia; Mytilida; Mytilidae
Source: RNAcentral